RNAcentral lists this ribosomal RNA (900 nucleotides) under Triticum aestivum (bread wheat). RNAcentral's name for it is "partial small subunit ribosomal RNA". The record is from RNAcentral. Lineage: Eukaryota; Viridiplantae; Streptophyta; Magnoliopsida; Poales; Poaceae.
AUGUACGCGCACGAACUGCUACUGAUGCUUUGUUGCGGUGCUGCUCCUGCUAUCGCUCGUGGCUGCCCAGGGAACCGCCUUUGCCAGCCGCGCAUGGCUCUGUCGACGACCCUGCUGCUGCACUCGCCUGCUGCCUUCAACUGCUGCUACCGCGGCCUCCAGCGCCGCCGCUGCUGCUCGUUGUUCCCUGCGACCGCUGCUGUUUGCUGCUUCUGCAUACAGCCACGCCGGCGCCCUGGCCGCCUCGUGUGCACCCUGGCCAUGUGCCUCGCCUGCUCCCACCUCGGCCAGCCGGCGCACCACCCUCGCGCUCGCCCUGCACCUCCUCUGAUCGCGCUCGGCCAUGGCGCAGUCGAGUGUGCGUGCGAUUCGAAGAAGGAUUGGCCGGUGCUGCCGGCUGGCGUCAAGUUCGACCCCACGGAUCAGGAGCUGAUCGAGCACCUUGAGGCCAAAGUGAGUGCUGACAGCACGAGAUCUCAUCCUCUCAUCGAUUUGUUCAUACCAACCAUUAACAGCGAGCACAACAUAUGCUACACCCAUCCUGAGAAACUUCCAGGUAUCACACUAAGUGGCCUAAGCAACCAUUUCUUCCAGCGCAAUUCCAGGGCGUUCAAAAGGGGCACGUGGACGCGUCGCAAGAUACAGUUGGAGUGCGGCAUGCACGCGAUGUGGCACAAGACUGGCAAUACCUUGCCGGUGAUGGUCAACAGCCGGCAGACGGGCAACAAAAAGGUUCUGGUGCUGCACACCAAUAAGAACUUCGAUCAGCAGAGGACCAACUGGGUGAUGCACCAGUACCACCUCGGUGACCUGGAGCAAGAGAAGGAGUGGGAGCUGGUCCUCUACAAGAUUUUCUACCAGACGAACACUAGGGCCAGGAGUAAAAAGAUUAUACGUUAG